Molecule: ribosomal RNA, 556 nt
Filed under: Odontobatrachus natator (Sierra Leone water frog)
Lineage: Eukaryota; Metazoa; Chordata; Amphibia; Anura; Odontobatrachidae
Description: partial 16S ribosomal RNA
Rfam family: Bacterial large subunit ribosomal RNA
Source: RNAcentral
CGCCUUUUGUUGAAACAUAAAAGGUCCAGCCUGCCCAGUGACAAAGUUCAACGGCCAUGGUAUUAUGACCAUGCGAAGGUAGCAUAAUCACUUGUUCUUUAAAUAAGGACUAGUAUCAACGGCAUCACGAGGGCUAAACUGUCUCCUUCCUCCAAUCAGUGAAACUGAUCUCCCCGUGAAGAAGCGGGGAUAACCUUAUAAGACGAGAAGACCCCAUGGAGCUUUAAAUUUAUAAUUCACCUUUUCAUACACCUACACCAUUAAACUUACUUAGACCUGAAUUUUAAUUUUAGGUUGGGGUGACCACGGAGUAAAAUAAAACCUCCACAAUGAAAGGCCACUGCCUAAUUCAAGAGUAACCACUCUAAAAAUCAACCACUUGACAUUUUAUGAUCCAAUUAUUAUUGAUCAACGAACCAAGUUACCCUGGGGAUAACAGCGCAAUCCAUUUAGAGAGCUCCUAUCGACAAAUGGGAUUACGACCUCGAUGUUGGAUCAGGGUAUCCCAGUGGUGCAGCCGCUACUAACGGUUCGUUUGUUCAACGAUUAAAACCCU